AUUGAACGCUGGCGGCAGGCCUAACACAUGCAAGUCGAGCGGAUGAAGGGAGCUUGCUCCUGGAUUCAGCGGCGGACGGGUGAGUAAUGCCUAGGAAUCUGCCUGGUAGUGGGGGAUAACGUCCGGAAACGGGCGCUAAUACCGCAUACGUCCUGAGGGAGAAAGUGGGGGAUCUUCGGACCUCACGCUAUCAGAUGAGCCUAGGUCGGAUUAGCUAGUUGGUGGGGUAAAGGCCUACCAAGGCAACGAUCCGUAACUGGUCUGAGAGGAUGAUCAGUCACACUGGAACUGAGACACGGUCCAGACUCCUACGGGAGGCAGCAGUGGGGAAUAUUGGACAAUGGGCGAAAGCCUGAUCCAGCCAUGCCGCGUGUGUGAAGAAGGUCUUCGGAUUGUAAAGCACUGUAAGUUGGGAGGAAGGGCAGUAAGUUAAUACCUUGCUGUUUUGACGUUACCAACAGAAUAAGCACCGGCUAACUUCGUG
This 484-nucleotide ribosomal RNA is filed under the name uncultured bacterium. RNAcentral describes it as "partial 16S ribosomal RNA". It matches the Rfam family "Bacterial small subunit ribosomal RNA", at positions 30 to 507 of the family's 1533-position model. The record is from RNAcentral.